Molecule: transfer RNA, 67 nt
Filed under: Marmota monax (woodchuck)
Lineage: Eukaryota; Metazoa; Chordata; Mammalia; Rodentia; Sciuridae
Description: tRNA.Ala
Source: RNAcentral
GGUUGUAGCUCAGUGGUAGAAUGCUUUCUUAGCAUGCAUGAGGACCUGGGUUCAAUAUCUAGCACCA